RNAcentral lists this long non-coding RNA (1853 nucleotides) under Lathyrus oleraceus (garden pea). RNAcentral's name for it is "Pisum sativum (pea) long non-coding RNA (PSAT_LNC003874)". The record is from RNAcentral. Lineage: Eukaryota; Viridiplantae; Streptophyta; Magnoliopsida; Fabales; Fabaceae.
GAGGCUCUUAAAAGUUUAUAAAAAGAGAAAAUAGGGUCCGGUUUGGGUGAGAGAAUGACGGCCGCUAUAAGUCUAUAACCAUCUCUGUAAAGAAAAACCUUCCUCACCUAUGGUUAGGAACUCUCUCAAAUAACAAGGAGAUGCUCGUGUUCAUGCUCUGCUUCUCAGGUUAGUUCUUCUUCAACCUUUCUUUAUCGUCAUUUUCUUCCAAAACACACUAUGCUAAACUAAACACACAUAACUACUUAUCACUCUUCCAUUUUUAAAUUAAUUUUCAAGAUUCCUUUAAUAGAUUCUAAUAAUAAUAAUAAUCAAAUUAAAAAAAAUUCCGACCUACCGGAUUCGAACCAGUGACCUAAGAAUGACAGCAUGAUACACCAACUACAGUCCUCCGCUCUACCAACUGAGCUAAGGUCGGUUGCUGUUAGGGAUUCUGUCGAAAAUUAGAUUAACUAAGUUUCCAACUAUAGUGCUUACUAAUGAGGCUUCUUGGUCAGUAUUUGCAAAACAUGCAUGCUUUUCAUAGUUUGUUAGAAAAUGUAAGGGAGUGUCUUUAGCAGCACAAUCACUUGGAGGCUUAUUGAAACACUGCUUUCUUAAUUGUUUAUUGUAUCCUAAGGGUUACAAACUCAACCUGUUGAUCUUGUUAUUGGAAGACUUUAGAACAUAGUCACACUGUUCACUAUUUGCUUUGGUACAUGAUCCGAAUUUGGGUACGCGGUUUGCAACUCUCAAAGAAAGAAGUUGAUAUUUUGUUGGGCGAUCUCAUGAUGGAAGGUUAACAAUUCGUGCCUACUUAUUUACUCCCUCAACAACUAUAUUCAUUUUUGUUUUCAAUUGGAGUUCUUUUAGCAACUUAUGGAAUCCUCUUUCAUUGCUCUGCAUUAGCAAAAUAUUUGAUCCUUAUCUGUAUAGAUACUGUAGAAGAUGCUUAUUUCAACCAUGUUGUAAUCUUGGUUUCAACGUCAGAAAAAACAAUCCUGAUUCUGGAGCAGUCACACACAGUUUAAGAAUAAUUUCUUAGUUCAUAGCCCCUAUUAGAAUUACAAUACUGAGACAAACAAGGAACAGAAAAUAAGAUGGUGAUUUCAUACAAUUUGCAGUCUUCAUUGUGAUUUUAAGGAUAAUCUAAACUCCCAAAUAGGCACUUUAGUGUUAGUUAGCAUUAGGAAUCUUUUGUUGUUUCUCUUUUUAAGCAGUAUGCAUGCGUAAUUAGAGCAGAUAUUUGGAUAUUAAACAUAUUUAAAUCCGUAAGGAGUACUCAUGUAAAUGUCACUUGCUUAAUUUCGUCCAUUUUAUGCACGAGCGGUUUAUUCCAUCUUUUGUAUCUACGUUAUUUUCCUUUAAUAUUUGUCUAUUUUUCAUGUUUGCAGUUUGUUGUACAAGAUUGUAUCGAUGCAGAGUUACAACAAAUGUCUUUUCUCUUUAUAUUUUCAGGUAAAGAUUAUCCAAGCAUAGAUUUCAUUUUCUUUUUGAGAAUGUGUGUGGAUGACAGUAUAAUGAAGAAGUUAUCUUGUCUUAAAAUUUUGUUUUGUUUUGUUUUACGCACAAUAAAGAAGUUUUUUUUGUAUUAUGAUACUAUCCAAAUGUGUAUCAUCUUUAUAUUGGAUUUGAAUUACUUAGGAUUUCUAUUUUAUACAGCUGCUGGAAUAUGUGGCUGAGCAGUGAUUUUGAAACAAAUAAGGGGCUAUCUUUUAUAUGGUAAUUUUUCAGUAAAUUGAAAUGUAAUAGUUUGUAGGCCAUAAUUGUAUUUGAUGCAACCUCAACCAUAAUAUUAAAUUGAUUUUGCUGAAUUUGGCAGAGUUGUCUUUUGAAUGGGAAAAAAUAAAGAAGCUUAUGGUGAGUUAUUGUAA